Molecule: ribosomal RNA, 513 nt
Filed under: uncultured bacterium
Lineage: Bacteria
Description: partial 16S ribosomal RNA
Rfam family: Bacterial small subunit ribosomal RNA
Source: RNAcentral
GAUGAACGCUGGCGGCGUGCCUAAUACAUGCAAGUCGAGCGAACAGACGAGGAGCUUGCUCCUCUGACGUUAGCGGCGGACGGGUGAGUAACACGUGGAUAACCUACCUAUAAGACUGGGAUAACUUCGGGAAACCGGAGCUAAUACCGGAUAAUAUGUUGAACCGCAUGGUUCAAUAGUGAAAGACGGUUUUGCUGUCACUUAUAGAUGGAUCCGCGCCGCAUUAGCUAGUUGGUAAGGUAACGGCUUACCAAGGCAACGAUGCGUAGCCGACCUGAGAGGGUGAUCGGCCACACGAGAACUGAGACACGGUCCAGACUCCUACGGGAGGCAGCAGUAGGGAAGCUUCCGCAAUGGGCGAAAGCCUGACGGAGCAACGCCGCGUGAGUGAUGAAGGUCUUCGGAUCGUAAAACUCUGUUAUUAGGGAAGAACAAAUGUGUAAGUAACUAUGCACGUCUUGACGGUACCUAAUCAGAAAGCCACGGCUAACUACGUGCCAGCAGCCGCAGUAA